AUGCUGCCCAGCAGGACAAAUGGUUUCCGGGUAUUUGGUUUAGUGAUGUCUCUUCAGUUGUGACACUUAAUUGUCCCCAACAGGGACUGGGCAGCAGCUGAGCCCCACCUCUUCCUUUUCUCUGGUAACCCCAGACAUAGUCAGCAGCCUUUCCCCUACAGAAAUAGCUCAAUGGUAAGUGCUGAAUCAGAUGUAAUUGAUGAAUUACUGCAGUGACAGGAGGAUGGGGGUGGGUAAAUUCUGUGUGUGUGUGUCGGUGAGUGCAAGAUUCCUCCCACGCACUCUCUGACUGAUGCAAAAUGCUGGGAAUUGUGCUCUAGCAGAGCAUAAUAUAAGAAGCAUAACCUGGAGAAAUCUGUGAGUACUUGCCAAUAGCAAAAACCCAGCUGAAGGGGCGGAGAAUGCUGAACGUUCUUCUUCGGGGUUUUCUCUUGGAGUCUGUGCUUCCUUUAGAGUAACGUUACACAUUAUUGAGAGAGAGAAAACCCUUUCAGACCACGGCUGACCCAUGUCUUCUGCCAAGUGACACUGGUUUCUUCCCAGCAUUCGAAAAGCCAGGGAGGAGGAGGAGGGAAGGAGGCCAAUUCUCCAUGCAUCAUCAGCUGCGUAUACACUGGACUGGCCCCAAAUACACUGACAGCAUCUUCCCUCUUCAUUCUCCAGAGGCCUUAGGCCUAGUUGUUGCUGCUGCUGCUGCUGCUGCUGUUGCUUCACAGGGAGAGGAAGUCUCCGAAGCUGUUUCUGGGAAGUUUUUCAGGAGGACUCACCGACAGAGCGCAAAACUCACAAACCCUUUCGCAAACUGCGAUCUAAGCGUGGUUUCUCCCCAGGCACAGCCAAACACAUUGUUGUCUGGAAGGAUUGUCCAGCGAUUCUUGUCAGGUGCCUUGCUGCCUGCCGUGGGAUGUUACAAGGAGCUGUGUGUUGAGAAAGGAUAA
This is a long non-coding RNA of Pogona vitticeps (central bearded dragon), 938 nucleotides long. NCBI's taxonomy places the organism in Eukaryota, Metazoa, Chordata, Lepidosauria, Squamata, Agamidae. The record is from Ensembl.